This 217-nucleotide ribosomal RNA is filed under the name Anthelia sp. 1201957. RNAcentral's name for it is "partial 28S ribosomal RNA". It matches the Rfam family "Eukaryotic large subunit ribosomal RNA", at positions 1 to 212 of the family's 3401-position model. Lineage: Eukaryota; Metazoa; Cnidaria; Anthozoa; Malacalcyonacea; Xeniidae. RNAcentral also lists the same sequence under 4 other names. The record is from RNAcentral.
UUAACCUCAGAUCAGGCAAGAUUACCCGCUGAAUUUAAGCAUAUUACUAAGCGGAGGAAGAGAAACUAACAAGGAUUCCCCCAGUAAUGGCGAAUGAAGAGGGAACAGCUCAACUUGAAAAUCUCCGUUGUGUUGCAACGGCGAAUUGUAGUUUCGAGAAUUACUAUCUCCGCGCACGGGCCAGCCCAAGUUGCUUGGAACAGCACGUCGUAGAGGG